This 309-nucleotide unclassified non-coding RNA is filed under the name Hevea brasiliensis (rubber tree). Lineage: Eukaryota; Viridiplantae; Streptophyta; Magnoliopsida; Malpighiales; Euphorbiaceae. The record is from RNAcentral.
GAAAUUUAUGGUCUGUUUAAAUGAGGGUGAAGAAGGAAUAAAUGAAUGUAAAGAGUAAUAAGUAAGUUAUGUCAUUCUGUUUGGAAAGAUGUGAAUUAAUUUAGGGUAUGGAUAAGUAAGGGUAAGCUUCCCUCUCUUACCCUUCAAAUCUCGAUUUUUCUUACACUCCAAAUUAGGGUAUAAGGAAAGGGAGGUGAGAAUUAUAGCCAUUUUUAUUUCUACAACCAUAAGUUUACUAUUCAUUUACCUCUUCUCAAAUAUUAAAAAUAUACAUUACCUCCUUUUACCUUUUCAUUAUUUCACUCCUUU